AUUAUGGUAUAGGUUUCACAAUUGAAUAUUGUUAGUAAUGAUGAGAAACCUGAAUGUUUUGGCUUGGAAAAAUCUCCAAUAUAUGUUGUUAAAGAGGAAAAAGCAAGUUACAAUAUAAUGCAUAUAUUUGAAUUCCACUUAGGAAAAGCUAUAUAUAUGUAAAUAUACAAAUUCCAAGCUAUCUAUUUGUACAGCAAUGUGUAAAAAUAUGUUGACCAAAAAAACAAAAAACAAACAAAAAUACAAAAAACUGAGCAGAUAUACAAAUAGUGUUUACCUGUGAAGAGAGAAGUCUCAUUGAAAGGUAUGGGUUGCUGUUUUUUAUUUUUAUUUUCAACACAAUAAGAAUAUUUAGUAUGGGUCAUAUUAUAGUGCAAAUGUUUUAAAAAGUCUUGGAAAUACAGAGAAAUUUAAAGAAUAAAAUAAAAAUUAGAAUCCAAUCAUCCAGAUAAUAAUGCUAACAUUUUUUGUUUCCUUAUCUUUUGUAUAUUUCCUUAGUCUAUGCAAUGUUGACCCUGUUUCUUCAGGAAAGAACAAUGAGAAGAAGAGCCAAGUUUAGGUGACGAAGAUGAUAAUUUGAUUUUGGGGCAUAAGUUGGUGCUGUCUGUGGGACACUUAAA
RNAcentral lists this long non-coding RNA (620 nucleotides) under Marmota monax (woodchuck). Lineage: Eukaryota; Metazoa; Chordata; Mammalia; Rodentia; Sciuridae. The record is from RNAcentral.